Molecule: long non-coding RNA, 982 nt
Organism: Acanthaster planci (crown-of-thorns starfish)
Lineage: Eukaryota; Metazoa; Echinodermata; Asteroidea; Valvatida; Acanthasteridae
Source: RefSeq, a predicted model, not a curated record
CGAGCACAGCGCAUGUGUAAACCAGCUGAGCAGGGAGCAUGCCAAGCGUGUUGUCAGGCCACGAAAUUAAGCUUUUGGUUUUGUAUCCCAAGAACUGAUGAAGCAAGUCUGAAGUUCGUCAUCCACUGUGUUCCCACGGACUGCAGAGCUUGGCGGAUGGCCAAAACCAACCUCGCAGUUCAGAAGAGAGACCCCACCCCCAAAGCCAACUACAGGAUGUGUUCCGUCACCAUCCUUUGAUUGAGCCAAACCUGUACACGUAGAGCUGGAGAUUCCUCUUUGAUGUGUCUGGUACCAGCUGGCCUCGAUGGAUCCUCUUCCACUACUCUAAGCAUUGAUGCCUGACUGUAGUGUGGCAUGAAUGAGUAUCCUAACUCGUCUACUUCUCUGCCUGCAGUACUAGUGAAUGUCUUCAUGCUGACACCAUAUAGCACCUGUUGGAAUCACAAAGCAUGGCACAGAAGCACACAGCAAGGCUCAGGGGUGAGAUUUGACAGGAUUUUUUUCCUGAUUUCAGGGUUUUAUAAGUGAUCUCUUUCAAAAUGUGAAGAAACUUGAGCUUAGGCGUGAGGUCAAAAUACAGACAGUUAAGAAAGAGUUCAGCGGUUGGUGUGAAUCCCCUUCAUUCCGUUCGUCUUUUGAUGUUGAACAAUUCAACAGUUUUAAAAGAACCAUCUGCCCUGGACUGUCUAGCUUCACGAGCAACCCUGACAACAAUGGAGUUUGUGGCCUACACAGCCAUAGUUGUGAACAAACGAUCCUAUUCAGGGAGAACUUCACUGGCCCCGGUCAGCCUUCCUGGGCUGGCUGUAAGGAUUAGUGGUUAACACCUUGUAAUAGAGACGCAAAACCAACUGCAUUCUAGGUUACAGACAUUUCUGUAGCUUCAGAAACGUUUUGAGUGGGUACUUCAUGACAAAAAGACAUUGCCACAAGAUCAUUCUUCAUCUUUAAACAUUUUUUAGACUGGAAAAGAAAUACG